RNAcentral lists this ribosomal RNA (24 nucleotides) under Usnea rubrotincta. RNAcentral's name for it is "partial large subunit ribosomal RNA". The record is from RNAcentral. Lineage: Eukaryota; Fungi; Ascomycota; Lecanoromycetes; Lecanorales; Parmeliaceae.
CGGAGGAAAUCACUAGUGAAUUCG